CAUAAAUUUUAUGUAAAGUAACGUAUAUAAACUACUUAAAACAAGUGUCAUGUAUAAUCCCUUAUAGGUUUAUUUGUCAGUUAAGAAUUAAAGGGAACUAUAUUACAGAAGUAUAAGUGUACUAAUAUUCACAUACGUAUGUACAUUGAUUACAAACAUAUUUAAGAACAUUUUUUUUACUACGUUGUCAAGAUUUUUUUUUUUUUUUUUUUUCUCAAUUCUUGUACUAAAAACGAUAUUGUUUUGUUAUGCACUUAUUCUUAUACAUAUAAUAUACACAUAUUUAAAUAUGUAUAUAUAUAUGUAUGUAUAUGUAUUUAUAUGUAUGUAUAUGUAUUUAUAUGUAUGUAUAUGUAUUUAUAUGUAUGUAUAUGUAUGUAUAUAUAUGUAUAUGAUUGGUCAAAAAAAAAAAAAAAAAAAGGAUCUUUUUUUUUCUUAUAACUUAUUAAAAAAAAAAAAAAAAAAAUAAAAUAGUCAGUAAACAAAGAAUAAAUAUUUAAGAAAUGAUUAUCAAAUAGAUAAAAAUAAAUAAAUAAAUAAAUAAACAAAUAAAUAAAUAAGUAAACUGAAACAAUGAUUUUGAACACUUCAACGGAUUUUGUGAUUAUUCAUGUAUUUGUUAAAGCGAUAUGAAUAAAAUAAAUUCUACGUUAAAUCAUAUGCAGUUAGUUAAUGAAAAUCUGAAAAAAUUAUUCUUAACACAACAAGAUUUUAAUGAUCAUGAUUCUUAUCUGUUGUUCCGAGGCAAAGUAUCAAAAAGAAUUGUCUAUUAUGCAUCUUUAAUUUCACAAUGUAAUAAUAACAUAUCUGUUUGUGAAAAUGCAGAUGAAAGUGUAGAUGAAUAUGUUAAGGAAAAACUUGAAUACCAUAUAAAAACUCUUAGAAACUAUAAAAGGGAACUAAGUAAAUGGUGGAUGGAACAUAAAAAGAAUUAUUAUCGUUUAUGUGUACAUAAUAUUUUAGAUAAAAAAAAAUGUGAGAGCCAUGAUACUAUAAAAACAAGUGGCACAGAUGUAAAUGACUUACAUUUAAAAGACACGAAAAAUAUGAUGAUAAAUGAAAUUAACAGAAUGAAAAAUGCAAAAUCACAAUUAUUAGAAUCUUCUCACAUAUUAAAAAAACAAGACAAAAUAUUUACUAUGUUCGAGUCAAGGUUAAAAUCAAGUGCACAACUUAUAUUAUCUAUAAGAAAAAAAGCAGAAAAAGACUCGAAAUAUGUUUGGUACUCUUUUUUUUUCUUUCUUAUUAAACUUUUAUUUUUCGCCAUAUUCUAUUUAUUAAAAUUUUGUAUCCGAGUGUUUUAUUUAUUUAAAACGAAAAAUAAAGAAAAUGAUUUUAGUACAAGCGCGGAUAUUUCGAAAAGUGUCACGUCAUAAUCGUUUAAGUAACUAGUGAAUUUUGAAAAAAAAAAAACAGACAUAAACAAACGUAAACAAACGAAAGCAAACAAAAACAAA
Molecule: long non-coding RNA, 1457 nt
Filed under: Piliocolobus tephrosceles (Ugandan red Colobus)
Lineage: Eukaryota; Metazoa; Chordata; Mammalia; Primates; Cercopithecidae
Description: lncRNA (ENSPTEG00000002010.1)
Source: RNAcentral